UAAGGAAUCUUCCACAAUGGGCGAAAGCCUGAUGGAGCAACGCCGCGUGUGUGAUGAAGGGUUUCGGCUCGUAAAACACUGUUGUAAGAGAAGAAUGACAUUGAGAGUAACUGUUCAAUGUGUGACGGUAUCUUACCAGAAAGGAACGGCUAAAUACGUGCCAG
Molecule: ribosomal RNA, 164 nt
Filed under: uncultured bacterium
Lineage: Bacteria
Description: partial 16S ribosomal RNA
Rfam family: Bacterial small subunit ribosomal RNA
Source: RNAcentral